UAGGGAAUCUUCCGCAAUGGGCGAAAGCCUGACGGAGCAAUGCCGCGUGAGUGAAGAAGGCCUUCGGGUCGUAAAACUCUGUUAUAAGAGAAGAACAAAUUGUAGAGUAACUGCUACAGUCUUGACGGUAUCUUAUCAGAAAGCCACGGCUAACUACGUGCCAGCAGCCGCGGUAAUACGUAGGUGGCAAGCGUUGUCCGGAUUUAUUGGGCGUAAAGGGAGCGCAGGUGGUUUCUUAAGUCUGAUGUGAAAGCCCACGGCUUAACCGUGGAGGGUCAUUGGAAACUGGGAAACUUGAGUACAGAAGAGGAAUGGGGAACUCCAUGUGUAGCGGUGGAAUGCGUAGAUAUAUGGAAGAACACCAGUGGCGAAGGGGACAUUCUGGUCUGUUACUGACACUGAGGCUCGAAAGCGUGGGGAGCAAACAGG
Molecule: ribosomal RNA, 429 nt
Filed under: Actinomycetes bacterium
Lineage: Bacteria; Bacillati; Actinomycetota; Actinomycetes
Description: Actinobacteria bacterium partial 16S ribosomal RNA
Rfam family: Bacterial small subunit ribosomal RNA
Source: RNAcentral